CGCUAUCACUCCUACGGGAGGCAGCAGUGGGGAAUCUUGGACAAUGGGCGCAAGCCUGAUCCAGCCAUGCCGCGUGAGUGAUGAAGGCCCUAGGGUCGUAAAGCUCUUUCGCCAGGGAUGAUAAUGACAGUACCUGGUAAAGAAACCCCGGCUAACUCCGUGCCAGCAGCCGCGGUAAUACGGAGGGGGUUAGCGUUGUUCGGAAUUACUGGGCGUAAAGCGCGCGUAGGCGGACUGGAAAGUUGGGGGUGAAAUCCCGGGGCUCAACCCCGGAACUGCCUCCAAAACUCCCAGUCUUGAGUUCGAGAGAGGUGAGUGGAAUUCCGAGUGUAGAGGUGAAAAUUCGUAGAUAUUCGGAGGAACACCAGUGGCGAAGGCGGCUCACUGGCUCGAUACUGACGCUGAGGUGCGAAAGUGUGGGGAGCAAACAGGAUUAGAUACCCUGGUAG
RNAcentral lists this ribosomal RNA (449 nucleotides) under uncultured bacterium. RNAcentral describes it as "bacterial SSU rRNA". It matches the Rfam family "Bacterial small subunit ribosomal RNA", at positions 328 to 793 of the family's 1533-position model. The record is from RNAcentral.